GGGGAAUUUUGCGCAAUGGGGGAAACCCUGACGCAGCAACGCCGCGUGGGUGAUGAAGGCCUUCGGGUCGUAAAGCCCUGUCGGGAGGGAAGAAAUGAUUGAGGGUUAAUACCUCUUGAUCUUGACGGUACCUCCGAAGGAAGCACCGGCUAACUCCGUGCCAGCAGCCGCGGUAAUACGGAGGGUGCAAGCGUUGUUCGGAAUUAUUGGGCGUAAAGCGCGUGUAGGCGGUCUUUUAAGUCUGAUGUGAAAGCCCCGGGCUCAACCUGGGAAGUGCAUUGGAAACUGGCAGACUUGAAUACGGGAGAGGGUAGUGGAAUUCCUAGUGUAGGAGUGAAAUCCGUAGAUAUUAGGAGGAACACCGGUGGCGAAGGCGGCUACCUGGACCGAUAUUGACGCUGAGACGCGAAAGCGUGGGGAGCAAAC
Molecule: ribosomal RNA, 426 nt
Filed under: uncultured bacterium
Lineage: Bacteria
Description: bacterial SSU rRNA
Rfam family: Bacterial small subunit ribosomal RNA
Source: RNAcentral